RNAcentral lists this long non-coding RNA (1365 nucleotides) under Equus caballus (horse). RNAcentral describes it as "lncRNA (ENSECAG00000049433.1)". The record is from RNAcentral. Lineage: Eukaryota; Metazoa; Chordata; Mammalia; Perissodactyla; Equidae.
GUUGGUAUGGAAAGUUUUUAUCCCUGUCAUGCAAUCUUCCAUAAUUCGGGGCUCUAGCACAAAACAAAGUGGGCAGAUAAGAAGGAAAGCAGGAAGAGUGUGAUUCCCUUUCCCAGCCAGCGCCGCAGCAGAAGGCAAACCUGCAUCCAGAGUGGGCUCAGGAGAAGCCUUCCGGGAGGCAGGUAGGGGCCGGGCUGCCUCCUCCAAACCAACAGAAGAGGAUGCUGCGCUCACUGGAGGGACUGCAGGGGCGGACCGGGGCUGUCCUGCGCCGGCUCGGUUGGAGAGUCUCUUUCUCUCCGGGAGUCAGAGCCCCGCAGCCAGCCGGGGUGAGCGAGCAGGGAGCCCGUGUUCCCACGGCUGGGCGCCCCUCGCCGGCCCGCAUCUCUGCGCCGCUCAUCCUGAGGGCACUGGUUCACGGCCAGCUUCUGCUCUCCCUGCCCAAGCCGCGCGUUGCCGUGGCAACAAUCUUCCCCUUCCGGCCUGUGCAGUGUACUCUCUUGAAAGAGCCUCUGUUCUUUAUUUUCUCCUUCCUCCCGUCGCGGCCGCCUCCUCACCGUGGCUCCAGCUCCCGCUUCUCACACCUUGCUUCCAGCUCCCACUCCAGUGCCUUCGCGUUGCCUGCACAAGGGGGCCAACGGAGCUUCCCUCGCCCUCCUGGUAAAAACAACACAGAAAAAAAACACAAAAGCCACGCUCUGAUCUGGCUCAGUGUCUGCCCGCCUGUGAGGGAGGGAAGGAGGUUGGCGGAGCCCUGCAGAGCAGGACGUUGGGGCCUGAACCGCCUGGUCAAGAUGGACUCUAGUCGCCACUGACACUUGUUCCAGUUCACAGAAGAGGCCGGCUCGCAGCUCGAAAACCGUGAUUGUUGCCUGGGCUGGCUCAGCAGUUAGGAUUACAUUGGUGAUAUUUAAGAGAAGACUCAGGUGACUGUGAAUCUUCUCAAGCAGAAUAGAAGUUUACUUUUCUCUCACAGAAGUCCAGGGGUGGACAGAACUAGGCUGGUGAGAGUAUGUCUUAUGCACCUUUGCAUGCCCCAUUCCUGACACUACGACUCCCAUGAGUUGUCCAAAGAAAAUAAUUCAAAGGACUCAAAUAGAGGUUAAAGGCUUCAUUCAGCUGAUGAGGUCAGGGAGCACCUGAAGGCCAGCCAGGUAUAAAAUGAUGUGAUCAGACUACCAGAGCUCAAGAAGUCCCCAGUGAUCAAGGCUGAGCAGGAGGAAUGAGCAGAAGCUCACAGAAUUGGCGUGUAUCUCUAGCUUGAUGAAGCAGUCAUUUAAUACAGGGCAUUUCAUGUGAUCUCAGAAAGGAGAGCAGAGUCCCGGUCCCCUAAGAGCAAGCUCUCCCCCUCCUCCACUACUGUGC